GACGAACGCUGGCGGCGUGCCUAAUACAUGCAAGUUGAGCGAUGAAGAUUGGUGCUUGCACCAAUUUGAAGAGCAGCGAACGGGUGAGUAACGCGUGGGGAAUCUGCCUUUGAGCGGGGGACAACAUUUGGAAACGAAUGCUAAUACCGCAUAAUAACUUUAAACAUAAGUUUUAAGUUUGAAAGAUGCAAUUGCAUCACUCAAAGAUGAUCCCGCGUUGUAUUAGCUAGUUGGUGAGGUAAAGGCUCACCAAGGCGAUGAUACAUAGCCGACCUGAGAGGGUGAUCGGCCACAUUGGGACUGAGACACGGCCCAAACUCCUACGGGAGGCAGCAGUAGGGGAUCUUCGGCAAUGGACGAAAGUCUGACCGAGCAACGCCGCGUGAGUGAAGAAGGUUGUCGGAUCGUAAAACUCUGUUGGUAGAGAAGAACGUUGGUGAGAGUGGAAAGCUCAUCAAGUGACGGUAACUACCCAGAAAGGGACGGCUAACUACGUG
RNAcentral lists this ribosomal RNA (497 nucleotides) under uncultured bacterium. RNAcentral describes it as "partial 16S ribosomal RNA". It matches the Rfam family "Bacterial small subunit ribosomal RNA", at positions 28 to 507 of the family's 1533-position model. The record is from RNAcentral.